This 680-nucleotide long non-coding RNA is filed under the name Androctonus crassicauda. The record is from RNAcentral. Lineage: Eukaryota; Metazoa; Arthropoda; Arachnida; Scorpiones; Buthidae.
AAUUUAAAUAACAAAAAGUCCAACAAACAAGCUAAAAGUGCUUGUUUGUUGGACAUCUUGUUGUUGUUAUUAUAAAAAAAAUAUAUAUAUACAUGAUUAAUAACCACACUGGGAUUUGAGAUGAACAGAAUAAAUUUUUAAUAUUUUCAUUCAAAUUUAUAUAAAUGUAAAGAAACAAAUUCAUGAUUGCAAUAAAAAGAAUUGGUGCUAGUUUCGAAACUGAAAUUUUGAGUCAAUUUCUAACAAAAUUUCUUCUCCAUCUGGCAACACUGUGGGUGACAGUUAUUGUCUGGCAUAAAAAGUGCAUGUAUUUGUGGUUCCUUCCUUCAGAGAGUGUUUGUCACUUGAUUACAUUUUUUUUGUUUCUCAUCAUGUUGAAAAAAAAUGAAAGUUGCUGAAAGAAGAACAUAGUGUUUAACAAUGAGUGGGAAUUGCAAUACUAUGUUGUUUCUGAGAAAAAUAAAAUGAAUUGUUUGCUCUGUGACUGUGAUUUUAACAGUAAAAAAAAAAUACAAUGUGCAUCAAUACUACUCAUAAGGACAAUAAAUAUGUUGCUAGAAGGUGAAUCCCAAAAGAUUACUUUAUUAAAAAUUGAAAGAAGGAAUGUAAAAGCAGAAGCAGUUAUUCCAAUCAGUGCAGAGUACCAGAAACGCAACUACAGAAGAUAUUUAUAAAGUGGC